UACGUAGGUUCCGAGCGUUGUCCGGAUUUAUUGGGCGUAAAGCGAGCGCAGGUGGUUUAUUAAGUCUGGUGUAAAAGGCAGUGGCUCAACCAUUGUAUGCAUUGGAAACUGGUAGACUUGAGUGCAAGAGAGGAGAGUGGAAUUCCAUGUGUAGCGGUGAAAUGCGUAGAUAUAUGGAGGAACACCGGUGGCGAAAGCGGCUCUCUGGCCUGUAACUGUCACUGAGGCUCGAAAGCGUGGGGAGCAAACAGG
Molecule: ribosomal RNA, 252 nt
Filed under: uncultured bacterium
Lineage: Bacteria
Description: partial 16S ribosomal RNA
Rfam family: Bacterial small subunit ribosomal RNA
Source: RNAcentral